RNAcentral lists this long non-coding RNA (5335 nucleotides) under Marmota monax (woodchuck). The record is from RNAcentral. Lineage: Eukaryota; Metazoa; Chordata; Mammalia; Rodentia; Sciuridae.
ACCGGGUGGAGAGCCAGGGAGGGCUUCGCCGCUGUAUCCCUCCCUCCUCAGCUUGACCCGGUAGUGAAGGCAGAGAGAGAGGCAGGCUGGGUCCGCCUGGCAGCCUACGGGAAGAGGCGGGAGUGGGGAAGGAGGGGAGACGAGGCCCGGCGUGGGGGAGGCCGGCAGCAAGGGCCGCUAGCCCAGUGCGGACCUUUCUUCAGCCCCUGUAGUGUCCCAGCGGUGCGCUAGGCUGCAGCGCGAAGAGGACGCCCAGACUUCCUCUGACCCGAGCUCGGAUCGAACAGAAAUAGAGGGACCUCAACAGCUGGCGAACCGAGUGUCUGAUGCCUCUUGGAGCCGGAUCCUACCGUGAGAAAACUGGGGUGCAGAGACCUGGCGAGGAACUGCAGAAGGCCUGAGAGCCUGGAGGUCUGCGGUGGGGAGGAAGUCACUGUUGAGAGAGGCUGCAUCGCUUCACUUUUGCAGUUGCUUAACUCUUUGCAAAGUUCUCAGAAGUCCCCCUCUGAGAAAGGAAAGUUAGAGAACUGAAGUCUGGUUGCUGUGAUUGCGGGGAGAAGGUGAAGCAGAAUCUUGGACUCGGAGCCCGGACUGAAACUUAGCAGAGGGCGGGGGUUGUCUCGUGACAGGCGAUUGUAGGGAUCUGAGUAAGGGGUUUCACUUUUUUCAGUAGGAGGAGCGGGAAGAAGAGGGCUACAGGGGUGAAGUUGGAGAGGAGACUGUUGCAGAGAGCAACCUCCUCAGAGAAAUGGACAGCUUAAUCCCAGACCAGAGGCCCAGGGAAGGCAGGGCACGCCCUGCCCAAAAGAGACACCAGUCAGACUUGUCCCUAAGGAAGAAACCUUAAGAUCAUCUAGACAACCUCCUGCUACAGUGAAAAGAAAGAAGGUUUUGAUCUGGACUGGAAUUUAACUCUCUAACCCCCAACUGUCUCAUUUCCUUUCACCAAGUUUUCAACCAGGAGGAAAGGUGAGGACAGGGCUCAAGAAAGCAGAAGGGCUGCUAAUUUUCACUCUUAAUGCCCUACAACGAGUGUUGUAGGACAUUAAGAGUGAUUUUUAAAAUUUUUCUGUAACUGAUAAACGAAUUUCAUUUGCUUAACUUUCAAAUGAUAUGUUUCAGACAAAAAAAAAAAAAAGUCUAACACCCACUCAUCUUUUUAAAUCAGUGAACAAAAAGCUUUGAGCAGUUAGGAUUCUUGAUGUCUGAGAUGAAGGGAAUGUGGGAGGCAAGCAGUACAGUUAAAAAUGCUUUGAGGACCCAAACAGAGGGGGAUUGAAGCCAGCCUCUGCUACUUAGGAGGAGCCAGGAGCAUAGUAUCAAGAAAACUCAUCUGAGACUCAGUUUCCUUCUUUGUUAAAUGGGAUUAAUACUACUAAUCUGAGAGGGCUGUGGUGAAGACUAAGUUAGGAAAAGCAGGCAGAACUCUUGCCUGGCACAGGUGGGUAGGCGUUCAAAAUGGUAAUUUCCUUCCUCUUUCCCUCCCUCACUGUUUGGGGGGAGAAAAAGAUCAAACUAGGUCAGAACUGAAGAAGAACUUAAAGAAGGUUUGUUUAGCUUUGUGUCUUUUUUUCAUGUAAGAAACCAGAUCUCCAAAGAGUCAGCUGUGGCUGGUGAGGAUUACUCCGUGAUCCAGGGCCAGUGCCUGGGUGUGAAACCAGAGCUGCAGGCAGUGCUCAGAAACAGGCAAGAUUUUGUAGCAAAGCCCAGUCUCACCAAAGGAAGUUAGGUUUUAGCAGGAUGAGGCACUAUCCUAAGUGGAAACUGAAAGUGAGAACAAAAUAUGUAUUGGUUUAACACCAAUUACGGGUUACCAUGUAUGGGUAGACAAAUACUUAUUAAGUUCUAAAAAUAUAUCAGAUAUUCUUCUGUAGGCUUUAUACUAUGUAUUUCUCCUAAUACCUUAAUAACAUAGACAUUGUUUUCAUCCCUUUUUACAUGUAAGGAAACUGAGGUACACAGGGAUGUACUUUUGCAAGGCUACAGAUCUAGUCAGUGUUGAAGCAAGCAUCCAUUCAGAGUCGAGUGUUUGUUUGCUGCAGACUUUGUCUCAGUCACUGUGUUGAACUCUCUCCCAUGAACUUACCAUGCAUCAUACCAGCUAUGAGUACAUAGUGCCUCCAAAGCUUGGUUCUAUUCCAUCUUUUAGGGACAGUUAGGAAAAAUAUAAAACUAAUGGCGCAGGAAUUUGAUGCAAGAACAUGCUCAUCCUUCAGAACUCAGUGGAGUCAUGGAAGUGCAUGCCAGUUAAUUUAGUGUUCCUCCGCUCCAAGUCUAUUCUUGUUUGUCCUGAAUUGUUAUAUUGGAGCUAAAAUCUGUAAUAUUUGCUGUCAUAUUGCACAAUAUUAGGCUUUGUCAGCAGAAGGCGCUAGAUUGGCACAGACAAAAAGGAGGGGCUCUUGGUCACUCAGUGGCUUUUAGGCCAGUGUGUCCAAGAGAUCGUUGUUACUCACUCUCCAGUAAAUUUGGGUAAUUCUCCAGUCUGUGGCUGCCCUGUCAGUCUCACUGACAUGCCAGUAGGUGGCCUCCUAGCAAGUUUUACCAGCAAUGAAGCUGGUGAUUACUGCCAGCCCAGUGAGCAACACCUGAACAAAUUUCACGGCCAUCCCAUGAGCCAUGGCAUAUGUUUUUUCCAAUAAGGUCUGACUCUCAGCCUUGUAGAAUGGUGGGUGAAGACUGGGGGAGUUCUUCCAUGAUAUUAGCCUCCUGAUUACUCCCCUGCAGUUCUAGAGGCAGUGACUGCUCCCUGUAUCUGCUAUCGCUGCAUUCUUUAGUGGUCUCUAUUUUUUUAGUAGUCCAUCCCUUUUGUUACUUAAUAACUCUUCAUAUUAAUUUUGUUCUCUUUCAGUUAUGAUACAUGGUGUAAGAGGAACCCUGAACAGAGUUUAAUCUUGGGAGUCAUAAAUUGAUACUGUCUUUAUUUAGAGAAACUUAUGUGACAUCUCAUAGAUUAUUCCUUAAUCUGAAAAAAAAAUGAGGUGGUAAUAUAUAUAUGACAGGGUUAAGUAUCAUGUAAAAUGUGAACUUGAAAGCUAUCAGAAUUGAAGGUAUUAAUUAUCAGUAUAGGAAAUAGGGUAGCCAGAAAAUGAGGAUAUUUUCUAUAAAAAUUGGGAAUUUACUGGGGAAGGGGUUGAUAGAAUUUCUUGUCAAAUUUAUUGCCAUCAGAUGAAUAUUUUUGUUUGUAUUGACUACCUUUUCAAAGAUGAAAACAAGCUGUGAGUCUCAAAUAAUUUCAAAUUUCCAGCUGUAAAAAAAAUAUGGCUGAAAUCACAGCAAUUUUGAAAUGCUAGGUUCAGAAUAAUGUAGUUCAUUUAUAUUCUGGCAUCCUUCAGGUUUGCUUUAUUUCUCCUUUGUCUUCUUUGACCUUUUUUGGAGAUAUAUAUAUGAAUUAUUUCAUCAUUUAGACUUGUAUAAGAAAAAAAUUAUGCUAGAUAUUCAUUCUAUCCCCCCCAAAAAAAUGAAAUUUUAAAAGAUAAAUGAAGAGAAGCCUGAGUGUGUUCCAUUCUUAGAAGAGUUCUAUGAUGUCGAUCCUUGUGACAGACACAGUCAGGCUCCACCCUGAUGUCCUAGGAUCCCUUUGAAUCUGAGUGUCCUUUCCCCUUACUUCUGUUUUUUUUUUUUUUUUUUUUUCCAACAGCUUGCCCUGACACUCUCUUUGGAAGACUUCCCAAAGUUUCUAGUCUCAGUUUGCCUAAGGUGCAGAGUUAGAAAGAACCAGUUGGAAGUUAACUUCUCCCCCAGAAUGGACCUCAUUAUGUAGCCUGGCCCUCUUCCUAUACUGGCAAGAAAAUCUGAGGUCCAUUUAUACCUUAAUUUCCCCCACAGAAUCAUGUUGGAGCUAGGAUUUUGCAUGAAAUCACCUCUUACCCUAGCUUGCCUACUCUGAUAUCUUAUGGGUUUUCAUGAAAGGACUUUCUAAAUAAAUCAUGUGUAUACAAUCCUCAUCUCAGGGCAUGAUUCUGGGGUCCCUAAUGUGAGCCAUUGCCUUUCGUUUUUACAGAUGAGGAAACUGAGGUUUGGUUAUUUUAAAUUGCCUGAAGUCACACUACCAAUAAAGGAUAGAGUUGUGAUUUGAAACCUAUGUGACUCGAAGUUUUUACUACUAAUGUUAUAUUACAUUUAAACUCCUUAAUACUAAGUGCAUUUAAAGUAACUGAACAGAUGUGGAAACAAAAUUCAGCAAUUGAUUGAUCAACAGAUGUAAAAAUGUUGUUCAUAUAUUAAGAAAUCUGUAAAUGUUUGAGGAGGAAAGACUGUGGACAGUAUGAUCAACAUGUGAUGCACCUCAUCCAAAAAUCCUUAUCAGAGAUGUACUGACAUGUCCCAAAUUUUUGCCCAGUGGUAAAUGUUCAGUGUGGUUCUCAAUCAAGGGCUCUCUUCAAGCCAAGGUUGAAUUGGAUAUUUCUAUCAGUUUGCUACUGCUUCUGUAACAGAUUAGUUGUUUAAAAUCCAAGAUGGGUCUCAACACGCCAUGUUAGACUUCUGACCUCACAAACUGUGGAUAAUAAAUUAAGGUGCUAAUUGAGGAUCUGCAUUCCUUCUGGUGGCUUCAGGGGAGACUUCCUGCUGAGAGCCAUUGCCAAGUAGGAAUGACGCAUCGCAAUUUCUUUGUCAGCCUACUCCAUGUUGCUUAGAGGAAGAACUCUCCAUGGUGGACCCAGGUCAUUUGCAGUGACUUUGCAUGAAAGGUGACCUUGCUCAAGGACCAGGGCGGAUCCGGGUUAGGGUGGAUCAGGGUUUAGGGCAGAUUGGGAUUUAGGGCGUUCUGGGUUUAGGGGGGUUCCAGGUUUAAGGUGAUUCCUGCUAGGAAUGGGGCGUAUCCUGCUGCCUCAAGCCCACCCGCUCCUUGAGUUCCCGUUGAGUUCUCGCGGUAUUCAGAGAGUAUUUUGGGAUGCAGAGCCCAGUGGAAGUGUGGAUUUUCCCCAGAAUGUGUUUGUAGAGUGCCGGUGUGAGUUCGGGAAUAAAGAAUUGCUGUUUGAAUCUACAAGGCUGUGAGUGGCUCGUGAUUUUGUGCCCAGCCAGGCUGCGGCAACUUCCUGUUCUUUGCAUUUCUUGCUCCUAGAGAUGGCCUAAAUUUAUUCAGUUGUGGUCCAGUUGCUCCAUCUUCAAAACCAGCAAUGGGGCCAGGUGUUGUGACACACGCCUGUAAUCUCAGUGGCUUGGGAGGCUGAGGCAGAAGGAUAGCGAAUUCAAAGCCAGCCUCAUCAAAAGCGAGGCUCUAAGCAACUCAUUGAGUCCCUGUUUCUAAAUAAGAUACAGAAUGGGGGUGGGGAUGUGGCUCAGUGGAUGAGUGCCCCUAAGUUAAAUCCCAAGUGCCAAAACAACAACAAAAAAC